Long non-coding RNA from Marmota monax (woodchuck), 753 nucleotides. RefSeq lists it as uncharacterized. The transcript is spliced from 3 exons. The record is from RefSeq and is a predicted model, not a curated record. Lineage: Eukaryota; Metazoa; Chordata; Mammalia; Rodentia; Sciuridae.
UAGAAGAGGUGGUAGGAUCCCUACCUGCUCCUUCAUAUGAUGAGGAGAAAAGUGCCCUGGACUUGUUUUAUAUCAGUACUUGAACUUUGUAGGGUAUCAGUCACUCUAAAAAAGUAUAUUUGGCUCUCUAUUAGAAUUGAGGCAGACCUUAAGAAUCCUGCUAAGGCCUUGUUUGAUUUGGUUUCAUUUAUUUUGUUUUCUAAAAUCAUAAAAUAACUCUCUAAUGACAUAGCAAACUUUUGGCAUGGCUUGAACCAGUACAAGUAUUCCUGGCUUCCAUCCUAGAAUCCACAUUUUUUUUUUCACACCUCAUCUUAAUGAUAAUUUUCUUGGCGAAAGCUUUUCCAUGGUCCAUUAGACUCAGUCAAGUUUCAUUAUUAUAUGCUCUCAGAAUGGCAUUCUUUUUCUUCACAGAACUUUUUAUCAUCUAUUCAUUAUUCACUUAUUUGGCGAUUACGUGAUCAAUACUUGCUUCUCUCACUUGACUUUAAACGUCACGGAAUCUGGAAAUUUGUCUCUAAUCACGGUGGAGAUAAAGACCAAGCAUCACUGGAGAACACAGACAACAAAUGCACAUUAACUCAAAGAAUUGAGGAGACUCGGGAGGUCCACAAUCAAAUCAUGUAGACCAGCAAGCUGUAGACUGAGACAGAAGUUGGGAUUUGCAUCCAAAGACAGUCAGCUGGCAGAAUUCCUUGCUGUAUGGUAAAGGUAAGGAUAUCAACUGAUUGAAUGAGGCCCACCCACAUUAUG